RNAcentral lists this ribosomal RNA (455 nucleotides) under Streptococcus mitis. Its description in RNAcentral is "bacterial SSU rRNA". It matches the Rfam family "Bacterial small subunit ribosomal RNA", at positions 28 to 470 of the family's 1533-position model. The record is from RNAcentral. Lineage: Bacteria; Bacillati; Bacillota; Bacilli; Lactobacillales; Streptococcaceae.
GACGAACGCGGCGGCGUGCCUAAUACAUGCAAGUAGAACGCUGAAGGAGGAGCUUGCUUCUCUGGAUGAGUUGCGAACGGGUGAGUAACGCGUAGGUAACCUGCCUGGUAGCGGGGGAUAACUAUUGGAAACGAUAGCUAAUACCGCAUAAGAGUAGAUGUCGCAUGACAUUUGCUUAAAAGGUGCAAUUGCAUCACUACCAGAUGGACCUGCGUUGUAUUAGCUAGUUGGUGAGGUAACGGCUCACCAAGGCAACGAUACAUAGCCGACCUGAGAGGGUGAUCGGCCACACUGGGACUGAGACACGGCCCAGACUCCUACGGGAGGCAGCAGUAGGGAAUCUUCGGCAAUGGACGGAAGUCUGACCGAGCAACGCCGCGUGAGUGAAGAAGGUUUUCGGAUCGUAAAGCUCUGUUGUAAGAGAAGAACGAGUGUGAGAGUGGAAAGUUCACACU